RNAcentral lists this ribosomal RNA (953 nucleotides) under Spirorbis spirorbis. RNAcentral's name for it is "eukaryotic LSU rRNA". It matches the Rfam family "Eukaryotic large subunit ribosomal RNA", at positions 50 to 802 of the family's 3401-position model. Lineage: Eukaryota; Metazoa; Annelida; Polychaeta; Sabellida; Serpulidae. The record is from RNAcentral.
GCGGAGGAAAGAACUACAAGGAAUUCCCUUAGUAACGGCGAGUGAAACGGGAUGAGCCCAGCACCGAAUCCCUUUGUCGUAUGGCAUUUGGGACAUGUGGUGUUUGGGAGUGUCUUUGGUGCGUGGCGAGGUGUUUGAGUCCUCCUGAUCGGGGCUUGUCCCAGAGCGGGUGUAAGGCCUCUACAGCACUGAGCUGCGUGUCUAGGGCGCUCUCUGGAGUCGGGUUGUUUGAGAAUGCAGCCCAAAGUGGGUGGUAAACUCCAUCUAAGGCUAAAUACCGCUGCGAGUCCGAUAGCAAACAAGUACCGUGAGGGAAAGUUGAAAAGCACUUUGAAGAGAGAGUUGGAUAGUACGUGAAACCGUUUACAGGUAAACGGACGGGACCUUAAGGUCGGCCUUGGGGAUUCAGGUCUCUGUUGGUGGCUCGGCGUCUGUUGGUGAUACCGCUUCGUGCGGACGCCGGCGGGUGCUGUGGCUGCCGGCGGGGGCUGCAUUUCUCCUUGUGCUGAGCGUCACGACCGCCUGACUGGCAGUCAGAGGCACCUGGUCAUAGGUAGCCUGGGCCGGCAACGGUUCGGGAACUUAUAGGGCCGGGAGCGCUGUGCUACUGGUUGGGUGAGGAACUCGGGUCGCGCUGUGUGGGCUUGGUCGCCGCUAGCUGUGGAUCGACUGUUGGGGACUGCUUGCAGUGCUCAGCGACUGCCGCGGUUGGGUCUGGUGUCUUGACUCGCAGCGCCGAUGAGUCAGUGGCGUCGUUCCAUAGGCACCCCGUCUGACCCCGUCUUGAAACAUCGGACCAUAGUGAGUCUAGACAUGUGCGCAAGUCAAAGGGUCUACCGAAACCCCAAGGCGAAAUGAAGGUGAGGUUAGGUGUGAUCCGGUUGUCUCAUUGAGCGCCGGCAGCAACACCGGCCCGUCGUGUGACCUUUAAUGUGUCAGCGGCGAGCUGAGCG